This 328-nucleotide ribosomal RNA is filed under the name uncultured eukaryote. Its description in RNAcentral is "partial 18S ribosomal RNA". It matches the Rfam family "Eukaryotic small subunit ribosomal RNA", at positions 1470 to 1796 of the family's 1831-position model. The record is from RNAcentral.
CCCUUAGAUGUUCUGGGCUGCAUGCGCGCUACACUGAAGCUAUCAACACGUUUUCCCUCCCUGAGAAGGGCGGGUAACCUUUUGAAUCAGCUUCGUGGUAGGGAUCGGGGCUUGCAAUUGUUCCCCGUGAACCAGGAAUUCCUAGUAGACGCGAGUCAUAAGCUCGCAUCGAUUAAGUCCCUGCCCUUUGUACACACCGCCCGUCGCUACUACCGAUUGAAUGGUUUAGUGAGAUCUUCGGAUUGGCGCCAUCGUGGCUUCGCGGCCAUGACGGAUGGCCGAAAAGUUGAUCAAACUUGAUCAUUUAGAGGAAGUAAAAGUCGUAACA